GUGCCAGCAGCCGCGGUAAUACGGAGGGUGCAAGCGUUAAUCGGAAUUACUGGGCGUAAAGCGUGCGCAGGCGGUUUGUUAAGUUAGGCGUGAAAUCCCCGGGCUCAACCUGGGAACUGCGUUUAUGACUGGCAAGCUAGAGUAUGGCAGAGGGGGGUGGAAUUCCACGUGUAGCAGUGAAAUGCGUAGAUAUGGGGAGGAACACCGAUGGCGAAGGCAGCCCCCUGGGCCAAUACUGACGCUGAGGCACGAAAGCGUGGGUAGCAAAAAGGAUUAGAUACCCCUGUAGUCCACGCCGUAA
RNAcentral lists this ribosomal RNA (301 nucleotides) under uncultured bacterium. Its description in RNAcentral is "bacterial SSU rRNA". It matches the Rfam family "Bacterial small subunit ribosomal RNA", at positions 505 to 805 of the family's 1533-position model. The record is from RNAcentral.